Molecule: ribosomal RNA, 321 nt
Filed under: uncultured eukaryote
Lineage: Eukaryota
Description: partial 18S ribosomal RNA
Rfam family: Eukaryotic small subunit ribosomal RNA
Source: RNAcentral
CCCUUAGAUGUUCUGGGCCGCACGCGCGCUACACUGGUGCAGUCAACAAGCUUUCGCAACGAACCUUGGUCGGAAGGCCCGGGGAAUCUUCGAAACUGCAUCGUGAUGGGGAUAGAUUCUUGUAAUUUUUAAUCUUCAACGAGGAAUUCCUAGUAAACGCGAGUCACCAGCUCGCAUUGAUUACGUCCCUGCCCUUUGUACACACCGCCCGUCGCACCUACCGAUUGAAUGGUCCGGUGAAGCCUCCGGAUUGGCGCGCACCUCGGUGCCGCCGAGAAGUUGGCUAAACCUUACCAUUUAGAGGAAGGUGAAGUCGUAACA